RNAcentral lists this ribosomal RNA (563 nucleotides) under Pristimantis platydactylus (flat-fingered robber frog). RNAcentral's name for it is "partial 16S ribosomal RNA". It matches the Rfam family "Bacterial large subunit ribosomal RNA", at positions 1817 to 2597 of the family's 2925-position model. Lineage: Eukaryota; Metazoa; Chordata; Amphibia; Anura; Strabomantidae. The record is from RNAcentral.
CGCCCCCUGUAACUAUAGGGGGUCCAGCCUGCCCAGUGAUUUUAUUCAACGGCCGCGGUAUUCUAACCGUGCAAAGGUAGCGUAAUCACUUGUUUUCUAAAUAAAGACCAGUAUGAAAGGCAUCACGAAGACUUAGCUGUCUCCUUUCUCUAAUCAGUGAACCUAAUCUCCCCGUGAAGAAGCGGGGAUCCUACUAUAAGACGAGAAGACCCUGUGGAGCUUAAAACAUUAUGACAACUGCCACCACCCUUAACCACCCCGAUGCUUCCCUCAGCGGCACCUUGAUCAUGUGUUUUUGGUUGGGGUGACCGCGGAGAAAAACCCAUCCUCCGCAAUGAAAGGGACUUCCCACCCUAAACGACAAGUUACAACUUCAUGUAUCAAAAAAUUGACAUUCAUUGACCCAAUAAAUUGAUUAACGAACCAAGUUACCCCAGGGAUAACAGCACAAUCCACUUUAAGAGCCCCUAUCGACAAGUGGGCUUAUGACCUCGAUGUUGGAUCGGGAUAUCCUAGUGGUGCAGCCGCUACUAAAGGUUCGUUUGUUCAACGAUUAAAAUCCC